This is a long non-coding RNA of Pipra filicauda (Wire-tailed manakin), 2899 nucleotides long. RefSeq lists it as uncharacterized. Lineage: Eukaryota; Metazoa; Chordata; Aves; Passeriformes; Pipridae. The transcript is spliced from 2 exons. The record is from RefSeq and is a predicted model, not a curated record.
GAUCUCAGAGGUCCCUUCCAGCCCAGCUGAUUCUCUGAUUCUGUGAUUCUAUGAUUCUAUGAUUUAUGAAGUCAUCCCUGUAACCAGCCAUCCACCAUCCAUGGACUUAUCCCUCACAAUUACCCAGUGGGUUUUGAUCUCUCCACUGACACCUGCGUGUCCUGCAAAGGCUGCAGAAGCACUGAACACCCGUAUCCAGCAGGUGUUUCCAUGGCAACGCCGUGUAAAGCCAUCCUUUCCCUCUGACACGGGAGAAAAUGUUGAAUGGCUGAAAAGAAUUGGCUUGGGAAAACCUGGAACUUCCACUAAGAAUAGGCGAGGCAAUAAUGGGAGGUGAUGGUGGAAAAGCUGCCCCGGGGGCUUUAAACCCCUCCUGGGGGGGGGGGGUCUCUUGGUGCAGCUGAAGGCAAUUUGUUGUUUCUCUUUGAUGAGAAGAAAGAAAGGUUUUUGUUUUCUUGUAAGAUGUGGAGCAGCCCUGGCAGUGUUGUCCCUUCAUUCAAGGGGACGUUCCCUUCCCCUCUUAGCAGGAAGUCUCCUAAUUCCAUUUUAUCCCAUAGAAAUGAUUCUGAGGGACCCAGAGGGCCAGGAAGGAGCAGCAGAGCCCCAGACUCUCCCCUAAGGAAUGGCUUUGCUUGAAAGCCUAUAACUCUUCCAGUAAAUCAGUGUAAUUUGUGCUCUGAUGUCCUGCACGGCUUUACAACAAGUGACAAAUCAAUCAUUAUCCAAACAUCCUUUGAUAAUCAGUGUGGUUCCAUUAAUUAUGAUAAAUGCUUUCAGCAGCUGCAGUAUGUGGACCUAAUACAUAAUUGCUUGGGAAUCAUAUUACCCUACUUCUCUCUUCACUUCAUCAAGUACAAAGUCUCUCCAAAACCUGCCACACUCCAGCAGCUGAAGGCAGAGUUUACACAAUCCACUCUUGCAAGGGUUUAAUUGGAGCAAAUGCAGAGUCCAUUAGUAUUAGUGUUAUUAAAUAUUAAGUAAUAUUCCUUGAAAAGGGCCCAUUACAGCUUUACAAAUUACAAAUAUACAGGAGGACUCUCUCAGUCUCCUGACCCAGGGGAUUCAUUGGAGCAGUUGUUGCACAGCAACACGGUGCAGGCGAUUAGGACCUCACCUAAUGAGCAGCACUGCAUCCAAUUGGAAUUGCAAGGAAAUUUAGCCUGGCAGAAUGCAAUUACUGCCUUCUGAACCCGAUUGGAUCAAAGCCUGGCCCUGUUCUUCAAAAAGUGCACCUUUAAGGAGCGGGGAAAGAGCCCCAGGUGAGAAGGGGCAAUUCCCACCGGUCUUAAAGACACGAGAGGGGAAGGGGCUGAGAGGCCUCGAAUCAAAGGGACAAAUUCAACCAACAGGUCACUGGAUGCACCUUCACAUGAUUAAACCUCAGGGAUUCGGGGCCACAGCACAUCCCUGGGAGCAGGAGUUCAGCUGCCUGUUCAGACAGAACCGACAUUUCUAUCGGAACCCAGGACUCGUCGUCAAAAUAAGACAACGUGAAUUUAGAAAAGGUUAUAAUUCUUUUGAAUUCAGAGAGAAAUGGCCUCGGUGGCAGGUUUUUCCCUUGUUCAGGGUCUUUUUUUUUUUUGCCCAUUUGUCACUGGGAGUGACAGGAUGCUGAACUGGGUGGAUUUUUGGAGCUGCUGCUCACGAGAGCGCCUGUGCUUUUAUUCCCUUUCAUCCCGGUGAUCUGAAGGAGUCAGACCUUGGGUUUACACCCAUCAGCAGGGAGCUUUAAGGGAGUUUUCCAGGGGAUUUGGGUAAAGCAGAACAGCUCCAUUAAAUCGUGAGGGGAACCAAAAUCCUGCGUCUCAGCUCUUCCUGCAACAUCUGUGUUAUUCCUGCAGUAACUCCUGCUGGGAAAAGCAUGUUAAGAUCGGUUUUAGGAGGGGAAAAAGCUUAGUUGUUUGGAAAGUUUAAAGAAAAGUGGGCGUGGAAUAAAUAUUUGGAUAGAUCAAAGCAGCACAGGGAGGGGGCAGGAGCGGCUCCUGGGGGUUCCUCAUCCAACAGGGACAGGGAAGAAAAGAUGAUGGAGCAGCUGGACCAGAGCCUGGAAAUUUUAGCACAGUGGGAAAUCUUAGGGAAAAAAAUGUGCAGGAAGGCUGGAAUGAAGGGUUCAGCUGAAUUGCAGCCUGGCCUCCCCAGAAGAAUCAGGAAAAUCAGGAUCCAGACCCCAAACCAGCCAGGUCUGAGCAGGAGCCUCAAGGAAACUCCUGUGGUGCUCAGUCCAACUGGGAGUGCAGUUGCCCUGGGAGGAAGGACAACAAUUGUCACCAAAAAGCAAUAUUUAAAGCAUAAAGACAAGCAGAAAUUCUGCUUAGAGGACUCCUUAGAGUGGAUUUCCCCCCCCAAAUUUGACUUUUUAAGACGGAAUUUUCAUGAAAAUAACGAGGGCUGUAUAAAUUCUGAGUCUGAACAUCCUGUUCCCAGUGCUCUGCACUUCCAGACAUCCCUUUUACAGGUAAAGGGAUCCUCCUAUUUGGAUGCAGGCAGAAGGAGAUUUUGCAGAGGGAUUUAGAAAAAAACUAAUAUUUGUAUUUUCAGAAAAAAAACCCACUUCAGAAUAAAGGAGACAGAGCAGACACAAACCUGGGGAGACUCCUGGAGCACCUCCAUGAGGUCCUUUCUCCUGAUUUUCACCACCUUAUUCUUUAGGCUUCAACCAGAGCUUUUCCUUUUCUCAUCUACACGAGUUCUCCUGAGGAAUCUGUGUCCUCAGAUCCUCAGGGAUCCACCCUGGUGUGUCCCCACCUGUCCCUUUCCUGCUUUCAGGGAUGUACAUCAGCCCAGUUCCAAGAGUUGUAUUGCUUUUUAGCAAAGAGGGGUUUAACUCUGUAUUUUCACCAGUUUUCCCUAAACCUUUUGGCAUUUAAUGAUCUGAAAAUAAACCCUCUUUUGUAUUUGG